UACGUAGGGGGCAAGCGUUGUCCGGAUUUAUUGGGCGUAAAGAGCGUGUAGGCGGCCAGGUAGGUCCGUUGUGAAAACUGGAGGCUUAACCUCCAGCUGUCGAUGGAAACCAUCUGGCUAGAGUCCGGAAGGGGCGAGUGGAAUUCCUGGUGUAGCGGUGAAAUGCGUAGAUAUCAAGAGGAACACCUGAGGUGAAGACGGGUUGCUGGGCCGACACUGACGCUGAGUGCGCGAAAGCCAGGGGAGCAAACGGG
Molecule: ribosomal RNA, 254 nt
Filed under: uncultured bacterium
Lineage: Bacteria
Description: partial 16S ribosomal RNA
Rfam family: Bacterial small subunit ribosomal RNA
Source: RNAcentral